GACUGCCGGGCUAAAAGUCGGAGGAAGGUGGGGAUGACGUCAAAUCAUCAUGCCCCUUAUGACCUGGGCUACACACGUGCUACAAUGGUUGGUACAACGAGUUGCGAGUCGGUGACGGCGAGCUAAUCUCUUAAAGCCAAUCUCAGUUCGGAUUGUAGGCUGCAACUCGCCUACAUGAAGUCGGAAUCGCUAGUAAUCGCGGAUCAGCACGCCGCGGUGAAUACGUUCCCGGGCCUU
This 237-nucleotide ribosomal RNA is filed under the name uncultured Streptococcus sp. RNAcentral's name for it is "partial 16S ribosomal RNA". It matches the Rfam family "Bacterial small subunit ribosomal RNA", at positions 1147 to 1382 of the family's 1533-position model. The record is from RNAcentral. Lineage: Bacteria; Bacillati; Bacillota; Bacilli; Lactobacillales; Streptococcaceae.